Molecule: long non-coding RNA, 1393 nt
Filed under: Malus domestica (apple)
Lineage: Eukaryota; Viridiplantae; Streptophyta; Magnoliopsida; Rosales; Rosaceae
Description: long non-coding RNA (MDOM_LNC002817)
Source: RNAcentral
CCUCUUCGAAUUUCCAUCUCGUCUUGUCUGCUGGAGUGUUGAUUUGGACACCAUCUUCUUGAUCUGGUUGCUGUAGUUGCUAUUUAGUAGCUUCGUUGUCCCUUUGGACCUCGAUAACCUCUACGGGGGUAAAAGUCUUUUUUUUUUACUCCUUCAGUAGUUGCACAGUGCAUCAUAAAGAUGUGGCCAGAUCACCCUUGAUUUCUUUGAUUCCUUGUCCUGGGAUGAAAUCAAAUUUUUUGAUACUUGACAGAGGUUACGGUAUUCUCACAUUAUUAUCGUGAACAUCUGCUUUGAGACAACUAGCGGUGUUCUCACAUUAAAUGUAAUGUUGCUGAUGGUAGUUGAGGUGUGUCCAUUGAAUUAGGUGAGUACCUUCACUCGGCGUAUGAUUGUGCUUUCUAGGCCCAUCUUCUGAAUUACUGAAAGCUAAUGUAGGUUGACUGUACUUCUGUUGUCAACCAUCAUUUUGUCAACUAUAGCAUGGGCUAGUUAGACAGAUACCACUAGUGGGUCGUCGUGUGGUAAGUUAGCACUUUCGACAUCCUGCUCGGUGAAGCCAAUGAUGGGUCUAGGUUGGGUGUUGACUGCCUGGACCUGAGAGACUAAUAUAGCCUGUUGGAUUUUCCUCUUCUUGGAAUUGUUGGUGGCCUCUAAGUGCUCAGAUUCAGCGAAGAUGCCAUUGAACCAGAUUGUUUUGGUCGGCAGCUCUUCAUCGGCGUCUGCAUUUCUUCUAGGAUGUGCAGCUGGCUUGUCAAGUUUUUGUCUACCUUGCCUUAUUUCACCAACUUCUUUGGGUAGUUCCUCCAAGUGUAGUAAUUGUUAGUGUGUGACCAAGACUUCGAUGGAAUGCGUAGUACUUGGUAUGGUCCAACUUGGAGGUAUUUCCCAUUUAUUACUUCGGCAACUUGAACCAAGGUUCGCUUUUGAUGUCGCGAAGGAUUUGGUAGAUCAAGAUCAAGAACUUAGAGUAGUUCUUAAGUGUUGGGCCUCCUUUAGUCUGCUCGCUGAGCCUUAUCACAAAGUGCAUGCUUCUCUACCAGAGCGAAAAAGUCUGCUAGAGUUAAAUCUUCUUUCAUGAUCAACUCUCCAAAUAACGGGUGGUUUAUUAGGAGUCCUUUUUGGAAGGCUGCACUAGCUAUCGAGUCAUUGCAUCCAACUAUCUUUUCCUUCUUUGUUUUGAACCUCUUCAUAUAGUCGCAUAGCGACUCUUUUGGGUUCUACUUACGUUGAACAAGUGAUCAGACUUCUUCUUGAUUGAGCGAUAAGAUGAAUACUCCUUGGUGAAAACCAAAGAAAGCUCAUUGAAACUCCAGAUGGAUUAUGGCAACAAGGUGUGGAACCAAUCUUGCGCCUCACCUUGUAGAGUGAUGGCGAAUAUCUUGCACAUGAG